AAGUCGUAACAAGGUUUUCGUAGGUGAACCUGCGGAAGGAUCAUUAGUGAAUUCUUGGGAGUCCCUCUUAACCGGAGAAGGCCCAAUCCACUAUUUUACACACCCUUUGUGCAUUCGUCCCUUUUUUAAUUACCUUUUAACCCUUGUGCAUUAGAAAAGGUUGUGAUGUAAACUUUGAUAAUUUUGAAAGAAAAACUUUCAGCAAUGGAUCUCUUGGCUCUC
This 222-nucleotide unclassified non-coding RNA is filed under the name air metagenome. RNAcentral's name for it is "partial contains small subunit ribosomal RNA, internal transcribed spacer 1, and 5.8S ribosomal RNA". The stretch from base 1 to 46 matches the Rfam family "Eukaryotic small subunit ribosomal RNA", at positions 1786 to 1831 of the family's 1831-position model. The record is from RNAcentral.